AAUAGAAGCUACAUCAUCAGUUCAUUCAAAACCUAAAAACUGCAUCCCAAAGACAACUCAUCAACUUAUCCUUGCUACAUUAUCUUUUAGGAAAUCCACAUCCAGUAAAAACUGUAGUAAUUUCUCACUAUUCAGUUAUUGCACAGAAAUGAUAGACAAAAAGCUAUAAUCAAAAUGCAACAUCAUGUAGCAGUAACAUAAGGAUGUGAUAUGACCUU
This 218-nucleotide long non-coding RNA is filed under the name Nicotiana benthamiana. Its description in RNAcentral is "long non-coding RNA (NBEN_LNC000554)". Lineage: Eukaryota; Viridiplantae; Streptophyta; Magnoliopsida; Solanales; Solanaceae. The record is from RNAcentral.